AGUGAACGCUGGCGGUAGGCCUAACACAUGCAAGCCGAACGGCAGCACAGUAAGAGCUUGCUCUUACGGGUGGCGAGUGGCGGACGGGUGAGGAAUACAUCGGAAUCUACUUUUUCGUGGGGGAUAACGUAGGGAAACUUACGCUAAUACCGCAUACGACCUACGGGUGAAAGCAGGGGAUCUUCGGACCUUGCGCGAUUGAAUGAGCCGAUGUCGGAUUAGCUAGUUGGCGGGGUAAAGGCCCACCAAGGCGACGAUCCGUAGCUGGUCUGAGAGGAUGAUCAGCCACACUGGAACUGAGACACGGUCCAGACUCCUACGGGAGGCAGCAGUGGGGAAUAUUGGACAAAGGGCGCAAGCCUGAUCCAGCCAUACCGCGUGGGUGAAGAAGGCCUUCGGGUUGUAAAGCCCUUUUGUUGGGAAAGAAAAGCAGCAGGUUAAUACCCCGCUGUUCUGACGGUACCCAAAGAAUAAGCACCGGCAAACUUCGUG
Molecule: ribosomal RNA, 492 nt
Filed under: uncultured bacterium
Lineage: Bacteria
Description: partial 16S ribosomal RNA
Rfam family: Bacterial small subunit ribosomal RNA
Source: RNAcentral